AGACAGCUUUUGAAGGAAAUCCAGGAAGACCCACGGGACAGAUUACUGUAACUCAGCUCAGAAGACACGGUUCUACUCCUCACUGCAUUUCUGCAGUGGCUUGCAGAAUAAAUUCCUCCAUCUUCCUAAACCUGCUGUAUUCCCCGAAUAAGAUUCAGGUGCAGAAAUUAGGUCCAAACAAUUGGCUACUUGUGAGAACACACACAGAGAUGAAUCAACCUGUACCCUGCACCUGAAGCCAAUACAUACACUUCCGAAGGAAGCAUCCAAAUAACAGAUCUUCCACUUGUUCUACAUACCCAGACACUGAAACUACUCAGAAGUGUGGGGAGGAGAUGUUGAGAAAUCCCUUAUUUAUCGACUCCCGGAAAAUUAGAUUCACAUGUUACGCAUGAAUAAGUUUUUCUGAAUACCUGUCUGGUGCGUCACCAGUCGAUGGCUAACGAUGAGAAAUACCUAACUCUACAAAUGGCAAAGGACAUAUGUGGCAAGGUGUCUGAUGAUGAGGAAUGAAGGAGGAGUUUCUUCUUCUUCUCCUCCCGUAUGCCACACUACGGAGGUCUGAAUACAAGGGACACAGAUGCUAAUACACCGGCUAGAUUUAUGGAAUCUGCAGUAUCUCGGGCAAGCCAUCUCAAGUCUUUUAUGGAAGGAGGCAGAGGAAGCAUCCAAAAUAAAUAACUCAAAUGGCCCGUGCAGUAUAAACUAAAAUUAGGGUAAAUAAAUGAAUACUAGCGUGA
This is a long non-coding RNA of Panthera uncia (snow leopard), 740 nucleotides long. RefSeq lists it as uncharacterized. The transcript has 4 exons. The record is from RefSeq and is a predicted model, not a curated record. NCBI's taxonomy places the organism in Eukaryota, Metazoa, Chordata, Mammalia, Carnivora, Felidae.